This 437-nucleotide ribosomal RNA is filed under the name uncultured bacterium. Its description in RNAcentral is "bacterial SSU rRNA". It matches the Rfam family "Bacterial small subunit ribosomal RNA", at positions 339 to 793 of the family's 1533-position model. The record is from RNAcentral.
AUACGGGAGGCAGCAGUGGGGAAUCUUGGACAAUGGGGGAAACCCUGAUCCAGCCAUGCCGCGUGAGUGAUGAAGGCCUUCGGGUUGUAAAGCUCUUUUGUAUGGGAAGAUAAUGACUGUACCAUAAGAAUAAGCCCCGGCUAACUUCGUGCCAGCAGCCGCGGUAAUACGAAGGGGGCUAGCGUUGUUCGGAAUUACUGGGCGUAAAGGGUGCGUAGGUGGUUAUGUAAGUCAGAAGUGAAAGCCCUGGGCUCAACCCGGGAAUUGCUUUUGAAACUAUAUAGCUAGAGUUCGAGAGAGGUAAGUGGAAUAUCCAGUGUAGAGGUAAAAUUCGUAGAUAUUGGAUGGAACACCGGUGGCGAAGGCGGCUUACUGGCUCGAUACUGACACUGAGGCACGAAAGCGUGGGGAGCAAACAGGAUUAGAUACCCUGGUAU